Molecule: ribosomal RNA, 440 nt
Filed under: uncultured bacterium
Lineage: Bacteria
Description: partial 16S ribosomal RNA
Rfam family: Bacterial small subunit ribosomal RNA
Source: RNAcentral
CCUACGGGUGACAGCAGUAGGGAAUAUUUCACAAUGGGGGAAACCCUGAUGCAGCAACGCCGCGUGGAGGAUGAAGGUUUUCGGAUUGUAAACUGCUUUUGUUAGAGAAGAUAAUGACGGUAUCUUACGAAUAAGCACCGGCUAACUCCGUGCCAGCAGCCGCGGUAAUACGUGGGGUGCAAGCGUUAUCCGGAAUCACUGGGCGUAAAGAGCGCGUAGGCGGGAUAGCAAGUCAGAUGUGAAAUCCUAUGGCUUAACCAUAGAACUGCAUUUGAAACUGUUAUUCUAGAGUAUGGGAGGGGUAGGUGGAAUUCUGGGUGUAGGAGUAAAAUCCGUAGAGAUCAAGAGGAAUACUCAUUGCGAAGGCGACCUGCUAGAACAUAACUGACGCUGAUGCGCGAAAGCGUGGGGAGCAAACAGGAUUAGAUACCCUUGUAGUC